AGGCUCAUAUUUCCAGCCUUGGCUGUUUUGCUGGCCGCCUCACUUAUCCCCCUUACGUUGGAAGGACCAGCAGACAACCUAAUGUUUUAUGACCAAAUCAAUGUCUGCCAUAAAAGCUGGUGGGCCCUUCCGCUUCUAGUCAACAACUUCAAGAGAAUAGAAGAGACGUGUCUGAUUCAUCUAUGGUACAUAUCAGUAGACAUGCAGGUCAUCAUAUUCGUGGCAUUACCUUUGGCCAUUAUCAUGAUACACCGACCACGCAUAACAUUCCUCCUCGGAGCCGUUCUUGGGAUCAUAGGGUGCAUCUUGACGGGCUAUCUGACGUACAAAUGGGACCUCUUGUUUUCUCUCACUCCUGGAACUGCAGA
RNA transcript from Rhipicephalus sanguineus (brown dog tick), 368 nucleotides. RefSeq lists it as uncharacterized. The record is from RefSeq and is a predicted model, not a curated record. The transcript is spliced from 3 exons. Lineage: Eukaryota; Metazoa; Arthropoda; Arachnida; Ixodida; Ixodidae.